Molecule: long non-coding RNA, 9497 nt
Organism: Gasterosteus aculeatus aculeatus (three-spined stickleback)
Lineage: Eukaryota; Metazoa; Chordata; Actinopteri; Perciformes; Gasterosteidae
Source: Ensembl
CUCAUCACGUCUGCACCAAGAUUACCCGGGAAUUGGGAAAUAUUAAUGGCAAAAAAGCGAAAAAGAAAUAAGGAACGAGGACGAGCGACCGAGAGUCAGCUGACGCUUUAGUUUCUACUGUUCGUUUCGUCUACGCAGAAGAAGAAAGAAGGGAAACAAAAGGCGGAGAGCACAAGGGGAAGGAGGGGUGAGGAGGUUGAGGAGGAGAAACUCAUUAGUGGAAGAGUUUAAGUGGAAUGAUGAGUAGAAGCUGGAGGGAAGGACAGGAUGAGAUAAGACAGGAUUUAGAGUGGGAGAGAGAAGGGAAGGAGGGGAGAAGUGUCACUUUAAACAUUCUUCACUGGGCACAAACCUUCAUCCCUGUUUAUAUUUAGUAGGAGGAUUCAUGCAGUGGCUGUAAAAUAUGACUUUCAGUCAUUUAACAGGGUUCCACAUUAGUUCAUUUGUAUUUUUAGAGAUAUUCCUUCUUAAAUGAGGAUUUGUCAGGACAUUUUGGACUGAACAUUUAUCAGAUGAACCAGAACUGCUGCUGGCUGUUUGGGAGCCCUCAGCGUAAUCGCCUGCUCAGGGACGCCGCCCCCUCGCGGCCCUGUGUGAGAUGCUAAAGAUAAUGGAUGGAUGGACACGUAUAGGCCCAUAAUCGACCGCCCCGCGGACGCAGCGGCCCACCGGCGACGGGGAUUUUGCGCAUUUUGCCCGCUGGGCAGUGCAUGCCGGAAAGAAUUAACAUUUUUAAAGAUACCUACAGGCGAUACACAAGAAUCAUUCCGCAGUUUCUUCUUCCUCUUCUCUGCCCGCGAUCCUGUGGCCUUUUUGGUGCAUUUCUUUCUGAAGUUGUGUAACAUUAUAAUGUCUCUCUGACAGAACUCAUUUUGUAAUGAUAAUGGUCCAAUGGCUCAAAACAUGACUGUUAUUGCUCGGGUAUAUUUUAGUUUUCUUAAAGAAACGCUGAGUCUUCCAAUAAGCCCCAAUGUGAGCUUUGCACCGGUGCGAGAAAGUUCACCCGAGCUUAAUGGCCCGACAUUCUGUUAUCUCCCACUUGACUCCGUGGUGAAGUUUUCACUGUCGUGCUCUGGCUGCAAAUAAAGCCGAGUCCAAAGAAGUCCUGAGCCUGUGUGACUACUUCUCAGAAACCUCCCUCUCUCUGAACACACACACACACACACACACACACACACACACACACACACACACACACCUGGCUUCUCAGAGACCCGUCAAUGUCGUCCCAUGGGGCUUUGCAAGAAGGAUGAUGUGAUUUUCUCAGCUUCCUCAAAUACCACACGCACAUUUUCAAACACACACACACACACACACACAAGCAAACACAUGGAUGGACCAAUGAAAGUAGCCUCAUCAUCCCUCUUGGAGGCGAAUAUGUGUGUGUGUGUGUGUGUGUGUGUGUCCUGCGCCCUGAGACUCGGCGCUGCAGGCUGUCUCAGUACUGUGGGAAUCAAUCAUGAUUCUUUUUACGUAAUUAUGAUUCCGGCAUGUUAACUGUGUGCAUGCGUGCGUGUGUGUCCACGUGUUUGCGUAACUAAAUCCCUCAUCUCCACUUGUCCCACUUGGCUUGCACACCUAAAGAAUAAUAUGCAUGAAAAAUCACACAUAGCCCACUUUUCCCUCAAACAUUUGACUUUAAUGUUGGCACAUCCUCAGAAAGCAUCAUUACGUUUGUGAUGUACGGCAAUCAUGUUACUGCCUUUUCAUGCCCGGGGGGGCCUUGUUUAUCAAAUUCAGAUGUAAGUGCCAUGAAAAUCCCGCUUUCUGACACGCAUGCCGCCCCGCUGCUGCUGCUGCAGCUGUGUGUGCUUUGUUUGUGGGAUUAAUGCUCGACGCUGAGCUUCAAUGCGGUGAUUACUUACUGUGAGUACUCAACCCCGUCUUCCCUCUUUCACUGAGCUCACUGAUUUCACACCUUCUACCAGCAUUACGUCAACGCAUAUUUAAUGCUUUUCCGCCUGAGGUCAGUUGAUUUUAACAGUCCUCCCUCGCGCUGUAGGACUAUUUAUUAGUUUAUAUUGCUGCUGCAUCGCUACGCAGUAAGAAAGGUCCGUCUGACUUGGCUUUUUGGGUGUCUCGAGCACCAGGAGGCCGAGUAGCAUCUACUUCAAGGCGUGUUUGGAAUCACUUGGUGAUCGGUUGUGUCAGUGACAUAAAGGUUUAAGCUGCAGAAAUAGAACGUAGGCUACAAGCAGGACCCAGCCCCUUAUCCAAAGUCAUUUAUUCCAACAAGCACUGCAAUGGAUUGAGGGGGGGGGGGCAGAGAAAGUGACCGUCGGCAGGUAGCAAUUACACACACACACACACACACACAAAGUUUCCAGCCAGGGCGAUUCUCAGCAUCCCUCCAUAAUUAUGUUGAGCUGUUGCCCAAAUACGUAUCGAUCGCCGCGGAGCCUCGAGUGAACCUGCCAACGCACACGGCGCCCUGUGCGGGUCUCGCUGCAGUGAGACGGGUCGGAGGGACACGGGGGGAUGGUGAUGAAGAGGACAAAAAAAGAGCAAUAGGGGGGGAAAAAACGAAAAAAAAAGGAGGGAGAGUGAUGCGGCCGUGAGGGAAGAGAGGGAAAGAUGAUGAGAGAGACAAGUCGACAUGUCUUCUUUGUACCAAUGGAGGACCGCUGAUGUUUAGAUGAUGAGCUAAUGAUCAAUUAUUUAUGAAUUAGAGUUAAGACCAAUUAGCUGCAGAGUUCAUAUUACUUUGUGUAGACACAUUUUUCAACAGUGACUUGAUUCAUUUAUUUAAUGUCAUUUUAGUUCUACUUUGUCGAGAUAAUAUUUUUUUACUUACCUAUUUUUUUACUUUCCUUUCAAAACAUUUUUCAACCAAUAUGUUGACCUUUUCUUUCCAUUACCCUUUUUCAAGUUAACAGUUUUUGACUCUUUUUCAAAACAUUUUUCAACAGAAUCUUUUUAUUACAUAUUUUAAGCUUAUUUUUUUUUCCAAAAAAAACAUUUAACAUUUUUUGACUUCUUCAAAAACAUCCUUCAAAUGACUUCUACGCGACAUUCUUUUAGCUACAUUCUUUCUUUAACAGUCUUUUCAAAACACGUUUGAUGUUUUUUGAUGAAACACCAAUAAUCUUGUUCUUAUUUUGACAUGUACAGCUUACGGUUUGUAAUGUAGUUUCAUAAAUAUUACAAAGCGGGCCAGAUAACGCUGUAAUGUUAUUAGAAAAACUGUCUCUGGAUGUGAUAAACCACAACUGAAAUCUGAAUUUGUUGUGCUACAGGACAAUGCUUUAUUGUGCCAUAAUAGGCUUCAUUUGGUUUUACUGUUAUUAAAAGUUCAAGGCAGGUUUGCCUGAACCGAUUACAGAGAAAAACAAACGGAGGGAGGAGCGAUGUGGAGGGGAUGUUGGAGAGAGAUCUGGUCAUUUGCAGUGGAAAAAAAGACCCCCUUCCGCCCACCUGCCCCCCGAGUGUUGAAAACACCAACACAGCAAUGCAAAGCUGCUUAAUAGCACAACAAUGGGGGCGAGUUGGCUGGUGGCUGCUGUGCACAGACAAAGCGAUCUCUUCUUACUCUUUACCCGCAAAUACCUGUGGCCGAAUGAAUGUACAAGACAGCUACGAGACCCACGGAUGCUGGAAGCGGUUCCCACGGCAACGGAAUUUAAACAAGAACCUUCUUGUCAGGGUUCCUCUCAGAAUCGAUAGAAGGUCAAACAUUUUGGGGAUACGCCACAAUGCCACAAUGUGGGUUUUCUAGGCCGUCCAAUGUAGGGUUCCGAGUGGAACGUUUCACCUUUAUAAAAGGUUCUAGACACUAAAAAGAUCCCUCCUCAAAGCACAAGCCAAAGAACCCUUUGUGGUUGCAGGUAGGACCUUUAUUUCUUUGUGCUUUCAGUAAAACUUUGAUGGGCAUACAAAAUAAAUCCUUCCUGUGUGUCUUUCUCCUUCUAUACCUAAUAGAAAAAUAAGAUCCAUGACUGCCUCAGCGCUACUGGACCUUUUAAUGGGCGGUCCACUCGUGUGUGUGUGUGUGGUUUGCCGCUGGUUGUACCAGUGGGGAUGUUCUACAGUCAUCGAUCUAUCGCUAAUCGAUUCUUGGCAGGCAGCUCAUGGGCAUCGGCAACCCGUCUGUCCCGCUCUCCUGUCUCCUCCCUCUGCCACUGUAUUCUGGGCAUCAGUUUUUUUUUUUUUCGUCGGGGUCCGUGUGGUGCUUCAGAAAUUGGACCCAGUUGCUGCCUCAGCACUUCUCUGGCCAGCAGCUGCUACUAAAAAGAAACGAGGGAGUGACAGAAAAUGAUUAACUGCGGAGCAGUUAGAGAGAGAGAGAGGGCGAGAGUGACUGAGGAGACCUUUGGUGGCCGUGUGAGUUAUGUCAGGUGUCUUCCAGAAGCCACGGUAGAAGUAUCAUUAUGUUUACAACACGGAAGACGCUCAUGUGGAGAAGGUCAACGUGGUGCAGCCUGCCAAGCGUGAGAACCUGGACAGAGACGGCUGAGGAGAGAAGGGAGGGAAGCGGUGGGGGGAGGCAGGGAGGGAGGGAGAUUGAGCAGCAGAGGUAAAAAGAGGGCGUCGGGGAGAGUGCAGCUUAGUAAAAGCUGCUCUCAUCCUUUGAAUGGAGCGUGUGAUGGAAGGUGAUACUCUAAUAGGAUAAAGGGCCGACAGAUAAAGAGAUCAGCUCUCAGUCGGCCAUCAGGUCCUGACGCAGGGCCCGUCAGAUAAAACCUCUGCUUCAUUCAGAGUCCUUUCAGGGGGGGGGGGGGGGUCUGGUGCCCCGCCAUGCUAAUCGGAGUACCUGACAGAGGGAUGGAAUAUGACCAGAUCCUAUUAUUCUGAAGAUAUAAACACAUUAGGUAAAAGCAGAUAUCCAUUAAAGUGACUUCAUUUAGUCAUCGGCUGGUUAUGCUCUAAUGUGUAAUCCAUGAAUGGCCAAAGCUGCCUUACCAGCUCAAAAUAGAAAUUGAAACAAUCCGACGGUGUGAUAGUAAAACAUGAAAGUAGAAUACCGUUAUUUUCAUUGGGUGCUACAUGGAGAAUGCAGUACACACUUUCUUGCAGAUGAGAAACCUGCAUGUCAUGUGUCUGAUAAAAUGCGAGUAGUCAACCCUUCUCUAGCGUAAAUAAGACAAAGCGUUGACUGGAAAGAUGUGGGUGUACACUACGUGCUUUGUCUUUGAAAGGAAUGCUGUGAAACCUGGACUAUUGGCUUCCAGCUCACACAUCUUGUGUCCUUCCACUAAUUAAAAGGUCCUAAACACACCUCAAUUUAAGCUUGUUCAUCUUCUUAAUGUUUGCAAAACCCUAAAAACCACGGCAAUAGAUUAGGGCUGUCAAUAGAUAUUUAAAAAAUGUACUAAUUAAUCGCACAUUUCGAAAUUCAUUAAGCGCGAUUAAUCGUGUUAAUUGCGUUAAAAUAUUUUAAUCUCAGCCAUUGAUCGCAUAAAUGAACGUGUUGAUAGCCCUACUAUGGAUACAUUCUUGUGAACGAAAUGCCUUUGUAACAAACACUUCAUUGAAGUCGUUUUCUCGCGAUCUGCAUGACCUCUGGAUACUUUUAUUUAUUCAGAAAAGAUUUUCUGUGCACACCACACUGUCUUCACAUUAAUUCUGCUCUCUUCUCAAAGAGUGACAAACAUUUCUAACCCUGGGACCUCAGCAUUUACAGUUAUACUACUAAAUAUUAUAUUUGACAUUUGACUAAUGGAUAUAGUUUGCAUGCACACAUUCUCUUUUCCCAUAUUCCGUUCCCUUUUCAAAAAUACGCCUAAGUAAGUGUUUCUGUGGAUGUGGAAAAGUAGAAAGAUGAAAAGACACCGUUGAGAUGGUUCUUAAACCACAUAAAAGCAGUGCAGGGUGGCUGACAUCAGCAGACGGCUUGGUGAAGAGAUGGAUAAAUAGGACGGAUUAAUCAGUCACCGGCUGACAGGUGCAGCCUGCAGAACAAAAAGGAAGUGAAAACAAACCCGGGGAAGAAAAAUUGGAGCGAGACAAAGCGGGACGACAAAAAAAAAAAAAAAGAGGAGAGUUUAAAAAAACAAAAGCAGUAUGAUGAAAGAAAUAAUUCAUCGUUGAAAGUGAGAGAAAAGAGAUCGAGCGAGGGGGGAGGGGUGGUGGGCGAUGGGCGAAGUUUUCAUUGUGUCUACGACUGAAAUUGCACCACACAAGCAAGGAGGCUGUAACAGGACAAAGACGGUGCUGCGCGGAGGGGACGGGGCAACGUAGGAAUGGACAAAGACAAAGGGGCGAACGAGAGGGACGUCUGCUGUUAGACACCACGGACCCAGGACACAAGAGGCGAGGACGGCAGCGCGUUUGAAAAAGGUUCCCCGCUGGAACACGAAGGAAGGGGAGAAGGUGCGGCGUUGCCAAAAGCGACUGCGGGGGCCACAGUCGCUGACAACACAGAUGAUGCGGUUCAUUCUCACAGUAACAAACCUACUCAGACACGUCGUGAACAACAAGCCACUCAGCUGCCUUUGAUUAAAGCAGACGGCUUUGCACCAAACCUCAACGCAGGCCGUCUUCUGCAACUUACAUCCCCGCCGUAGUUACUGCACACGUGUGGUGAAGCAGGUGAAGCCACCAGAACGCAUUGGCUAACUUCAAGUCUCUAUUUUUAGGACUGGCGAGGUCAUAAUCAUCUUCUGGACCCCCCAGUUUUACUCGUGUCUGACAUUUUAGGCCUUUUAUGGACUGCAAAUGAACCACGUGUGAGGUCAUUAAAAUCCUGCAACCAGACUCUCUUCCAGUAAUGAAUGACCUCCAUGUAAAAACAAACGCUCAAUCAAGGGACUGUUGGAUAUCCUGUUAAUAGUUGAUCAUGCAGUUUUAAUUGAAUGCCCCGAGUGAGCAGCUCUGACUGAGAGCUCAGCUGGAUCAGAUUCCUGUUUGUCUUGAUAGGGAGUCCAUCUCCUUCACCGUGGGGUUCCACAGGGCUCCGGCCCGGAGCUCUUCUUCUUCUUUGAGCUCUACGUGUGCCUGUUGUCGGCGGUUUAAAAUAAAAUGAGAAAAACCGCAGCUUCAAACUAAGAGAGAUAUUAGAAAUCACACAGGAACAUUUUGCACAGUGGUGGGUAACCAUGUCCUGUGAAUAGUGCGUUAACAUCCCCUUCCCUUUGCAUGUAAGCUUCCCUCCGCGUUGCAUGUGUGGCGUGGAGGGUAGACGCCGUGCACACAUGCACACUAACACACACAAAUACAGGAAUGUGUGAAGCAAAGCUAAAAAAACAGUAGCCUAUAGUUUUAGAAUUGGCUGUAAUGUGCACCAUAUAAUGUGUGUGCUUUCAUAUUCUAAUUCAAAUGCCUCGUUUUUUCCCUCUUACACACAAACGCGUACAUGCACAUACACACAUACACACACGUUGCUGUGCUACAUUGUUAAAUUGCAUGGUUGCAUUUUUAUGUUACAUUAUUAUGUAUGUUUGAACAGUAACCAUGAUGUUUUACAACAUUAACCCAGUAGUUUGUUUCUACUAAACCUAAUGAAUUGUUUCACGAUAUUAACCGGACGGCAUUCAGCAUUUGUGCAGGACUAAAUCGAGGGUGUGUGAUGUAGAUACAGUGCUAUUAAUAUGCUCAAGGGUCCUGUGAGAAAUGGACCCCAGACCUUUUAAAAGCUGUGCAGCAGUUGACCAGCAGCCACUUUAACUUUAACUAACCAGAGAGUGACUUUCUGAAUAUGUAUAUAUAUACAUUGACUCACUUAUAGGUCAUCAUGUACUCAGAAUGCUGAAAAUAAGGACAACUAUACUUCAUUUUAAUGAACACCAUUAUUCAAACGAGCAGCGCGAGGCAGGGAUGAGCGCGGAGAAAUGAAAGUGAAGGAAAAAAGGGGCGAAGGGAUGACAGAGAAAUAUUUCCCCCCCUUCGGCUGAUGCUGCAGCACAUUUGUGAGCCGUAAUGUCUUUCAUUUGCAAACUGGGGCAACUGUUCCUCUCCCCGGCGCACCGCACGCGUCUCCUCCUCAUUUCCCUCCACGCGCAUCUCGGUCCCCCGGAUCUCUCGUGCUGUCCCCCCGGACACGGAGUGCGCGUGCGUCUAGGAAAACAGCAAGAUGCACGAACACGCGAACACACGCAUGUAUCCGCGUGUUCGUUAGUAAUCCUGCAGUCCGCAGGGGGGGGGGGGGGGUGAUGAAAAGAUAAAAGCUCCCCGAGCCAAUCACAGACGUAUCACUUAACCGGCUCAGCCAAUCACACGCUGAUCGCAUCACCGACAUGAAGAAAACGCAACAGACGCAGCGGAGGUGUGAGGAGAGAACAGCUGACGAGGAGAAGGGGGGGAGGGAGGAGACAGUGAAGGAGGCUCGGAGAGGAGACGACAAAGAGGGGUUCGCGGGACUGAAAUAGACCAAGUCAAAUGAGGAAACGAACAACCCGUUUUGGGCACUACCGGAAGUGUGCGCGCGCGUGUGGCUGCGUGCUGUUAAAUGUUUCCCUGCAUGUGUGUGUGUGUGUGUGCACAUUCUGCAGAUAUGAGCGUGUGCGUGUGUCCGUUUACCUCCAAAGCGGAUUUGAAACUUAAGGGGCUACAAAGUGGGUCACGGCUGCGUCUCCGCUUCCUUCGUCACCAGCGCCUCCGACUUUGAGCGGAGAUCUCACGCGCCCGUGACGGCGCGCCCGCACGCACACACACACACACACACAUAGGGACACACACUUUCCCACACGUGAACACCUUCCUGCGAGUGACACAGAAUCCUCGUCAUUGACCCACAUUCCAGUGGAGAAGUGGAUUUUUUUGGGGGGGGGGGCGUCCGCGCGCGCGCGCUCGUGACCCGGUUGAGUCGCUCCCGCAGAUGCUUCUCCGCGCUCACGACUCGAGUCACAAAGUAUUACCGUCCUCUUACGAGAGGCCUCAGCGCGGGGGGGGGGGUGUGUGUGGGGGGGUCGUCAGCCUCCAACCAGCGUCACGAGGUGACUCAUUUCACUUCCCUGUAAUUAAACGGGUGUUUCUUUUGUGCUCGUCGUUUUCUUCGUUCAUCCGGAGAAGAAUCCAAUCAGGACGAAAGGUCAGUCGUCCUGACGCGCCGAGCCGACCGCGCAAAGGCGAUCGAUUCGAACGCUUUGCGUCUCCUCCCGUCGCCAGACGCCGUCCGUCAGGUGUCUCCAGCAACACGUUGCCAUGGCUACCGCCGAGCGUGAGUCCGCAGGACGUCUUCUGUGCUCAACUCAGGGUUGCUGCAACAUAAAAACGCAGUGGGCAUUUUUUUUUUUAUGAAAGGAAAGCUUCUGUCUUUUGAAAUAAAAAAAAAUACAAAUGAAGGAUUUAACGGAUUGUCUGAAACUACUGAUUCAACCGGCCGAUCCUGCGCUCCAUCCUUCACCUCCACCCGCCUUCAGGGGUGGCUUCAUUGUUAACGCAGAUGAUUGUUUCUGUAUCACUUGAGUUCUAGUAUAUUACCAUCUUCUCUUCUUGUUUCCUUUCCUUCCUCCUUCCCCUCCUCCCAUCGCUCCCUUCCCGUGUUGUAUUCGAUCCUCCUCUUCAAUCUCUUCCACUCUUCAUCUCACGUUUUCCCAGAAAUGUAAGUGACCCAUUUGUGA